RNAcentral lists this long non-coding RNA (569 nucleotides) under Mytilus galloprovincialis (Mediterranean mussel). The record is from RNAcentral. Lineage: Eukaryota; Metazoa; Mollusca; Bivalvia; Mytilida; Mytilidae.
AGAAGUUUCAUGUUUAGUUUGGAAAGUUUUUAUUUUAUUUUAGGUACAGCGCGCGCCAGAUUGACGAGACAUCACGUGACACGGGUUUAUAAUAACGAAAAGAUAGUCUUUUUAUUUCUUUUUAGGUGGGGACGUUAAACAGACAACAUCUAUAGAGAUGGAAUGUACACAAUGUAAUUUCUUUUGUCAUUGUAGGAAAUUGACAUUUUGAUGACAGUUCACAAGCAGUGCAUGUUUUGGAUUUAAUUGAUCCGGUGUAACUUUAAAACACAUUUAUUGAUUAUUUUCUGAUAUUGUACAUUUUUCAGCACCUGUUUGUAACACAGAUUAGUAUUUCAAACUCGGAGCGGACAUUUUAUUGUAGGUUUUUACUGAGAUUUACGGACCUAGCAAGCGAUUUUUACGGCAUUGCCAUUUUCUUUUCUCUAGGAAAAGCUUUGAGAGAUAUCUGCACCAAGUUUUUUUAUAAACUUUAGUACAUGUAUGCCCUGCUGACUGCAAAUUUUGAGGUCGAUUGUACUUGUAGUUUCAGAGAACAUGUGGAUUUUUUUUCAGAAGUGACGUAAGAA